ACAUAGAAGUUUUCUAGCUCCAUUUGACAUCCACUUCCCACAUAAGGAUCUUGUGAUCGGCUCUACAUAAAAAAAUAGUUUUCUUUCAUCGCACAUUUCAAUUAAGGUACGGAUCACCUAUAUAUUAUUUUCUCAUAAGAACAAUGAAUAAAGUUAUUCUUCAGUCUAGUCUCGAUAGUGUUUCUCGUUGGAUUUCCUCAAACCCGUACGAUCGAUCCAAGGAAAUAAACGGAACGCAAAACCGUAAUCAAGGUUGAUGAUCGAGUGGAGAGGUCACGUAGCAUGGGCCUUAGGAAAAAUAAAUGGGAAAACCUAUGUUAUCUUUUGAUUUGAACUUUGUAUAAACAUUUAAGAUUUUUAUAUGUUAU
RNAcentral lists this long non-coding RNA (368 nucleotides) under Helianthus annuus (common sunflower). Its description in RNAcentral is "sRNA HanXRQr2_Chr15g0702871". The record is from RNAcentral. Lineage: Eukaryota; Viridiplantae; Streptophyta; Magnoliopsida; Asterales; Asteraceae.